RNAcentral lists this long non-coding RNA (475 nucleotides) under Homo sapiens (human). Its description in RNAcentral is "non-protein coding lnc-URAD-2:1". Lineage: Eukaryota; Metazoa; Chordata; Mammalia; Primates; Hominidae. The record is from RNAcentral.
CUUACAUUUGAAGAUCUUCUUUGCUUUGCAUAUCAAGUUGCCAAAGGAAUGGAAUUUCUGGAAUUUAAGUCUGUGUUCACAGAGACCUGGCCGCCAGGAACGUGCUUGUCACCCACGGGAAAGUGGUGAAGAUAUGUGACUUUGGAUUGGCUCGAGAUAUCAUGAGUGAUUCCAACUAUGUUGUCAGGGGCAAGCCCGUCUGCCUGUAAAAUGGAUGGCCCCCGAAAGCCUGUUUGAAGGCAUCUACACCAUUAAGAGUGAUGUCUGGUCAUAUGGAAUAUUACUGUGGGAAAUCUUCUCACUUGUGUGAAUCCUUACCCUGGCAUUCCGGUUGAUGCUAACUUCUACAAACUGAUUCAAAAUGGAUUUAAAAUGGAUCAGCCAUUUUAUGCUACAGAAGAAAAUACAUUAUAAUGCAAUCCUGCUGGGCUUUUGACUCAAGGAAACGGCCAUCCUUCCCUAAUUUGACUUCGUU